RNAcentral lists this ribosomal RNA (497 nucleotides) under uncultured bacterium. Its description in RNAcentral is "partial 16S ribosomal RNA". It matches the Rfam family "Bacterial small subunit ribosomal RNA", at positions 28 to 507 of the family's 1533-position model. The record is from RNAcentral.
GACGAACGCUGGCGGCGUGCCUAAUACAUGCAAGUAGAACGCUGAAGCCUGGUGCUUGCACCGAGCGGAUGAGUUGCGAACGGGUGAGUAACGCGUAGGUAACCUGCCUGGUAGCGGGGGAUAACUAUUGGAAACGAUAGCUAAUACCGCAUAAGAGUAGAUGUUGCAUGACAUUUGCUUAAAAGGUGCAAUUGCAUCACUACCAGAUGGACCUGCGUUGUAUUAGCUAGUUGGUGAGGUAACGGCUCACCAAGGCAACGAUACAUAGCCGACCUGAGAGGGUGAUCGGCCACACUGGGACUGGGACACGGCCCAGACUCCUACGGGAGGCAGCAGUAGGGAAUCUUCGGCAAUGGACGGAAGUCUGACCGAGCAACGCCGCGUGAGUGAAGAAGGUUUUCGGAUCGUAAAGCUCUGUUGUAAGAGAAGAACGAGUGUGAGAGUGGAAAGUUCACACUGUGACGGUAUCUUACCAGAAAGGGACGGCUAACUACGUG